UCUAAGCCAAUUCACCUUAUAUAGACCAAGAGUAGAGCGGGAAAUCUUCAUAAACUAAAACACUGUGGUAAAGUCAUCUCGACAAGGGACAAAUUCAACAAAGAUGAAUCAACUAAUAAAUAUAUUCCUGGUUCUUGGAGUGAUAAUCUGUAGUGUCGAAUCUAUGGACAAAGAUUGUCUGGAUGACUGUUUUGGCGCUUAUUCCUCUUGUCAAAUGUCAACGUCCUGCUACGACAAAGCAUCCUGUGGCGUAUGCCUCAAAAAAUAUAGUGCUUGUACUAAAAACUGCUCGAGAAAAAGAAGCUAUGUCCCUGAAUCUGUUAUCGACUUAAGACGAAGACUACGACUAGGAUAUUAACUCUAACAGAAUGAGAAAAUUAGUUUUAAAGAAAGUUAAUGAAUAUUUUAAUGGUUAUCAAGAAGUCAAGAAUCACAGACUCAUUCAGAAGAAAAGUCACAUGUAAUUAUGGAUAAGACAUUUUCUUGGCGAAGUGAAAAAAUAUAUUAGUCAGAUAUAUAUGUAAUUAAAACAUGUAUUUGUAAUACUU
This is a long non-coding RNA of Actinia tenebrosa (Australian red waratah sea anemone), 548 nucleotides long. RefSeq lists it as uncharacterized. NCBI's taxonomy places the organism in Eukaryota, Metazoa, Cnidaria, Anthozoa, Actiniaria, Actiniidae. The record is from RefSeq and is a predicted model, not a curated record.